Podarcis raffonei (Aeolian wall lizard) is the source of this 2205-nucleotide RNA transcript. It is a transcript of the gene named ras-related protein Rab-11A-like, with no coding region annotated. Lineage: Eukaryota; Metazoa; Chordata; Lepidosauria; Squamata; Lacertidae. The record is from RefSeq and is a predicted model, not a curated record. The transcript has 7 exons.
GCAAGUCUGAGGGAUCCACUCCCUGCUCUCGUUUUAUCCAAUACUCACCGCUAGGGAAGGGAUGUGGAACCCCAGCACAUCUGCAAAGAGAAGGACAUGGGGACAGAUAUAUGCCCCACCCACCUACCUGGGCCAGGUGUACUCCUUGACAGCCAGUCCAUAGUGAGUACACAUCCAAACCCCAAACUGGGCCAAUCAGAACGAAGGGAGAGAGCAGCAGAGCAACCAAUGGCAAAGUGGGAAUGGCUUCCUAAGGCUGUGCUGCCUGACUGCUGUACCUGAAGCUGGUUAAACCCAGGAAAUCGCAGAGUAGUGAGAUCACCUGCUUCUUUUGGACCCAGAGGAAAGAGGCACAGGUGUGUCCUCACCUGCUUUCUUGUGGGGUACCUGAACUCCUCAGGAGCUUGAAGUCACUAUGCGGGCCAAGGAUGAUGAAUAUGAUUACCUCUUCAAGAUUGUCCUCAUCGGAGACUCGGGAGUAGGGAAAAGCAACCUCCUUUCUCGGUUCACCCGGAAUGAGUUCAACCUGGAGAGCAAAAGCACCAUUGGGGUGGAAUUUGCCACACGAAGCAUCCAAGUGGAUAACAAGACAGUGAAGGCCCAGAUCUGGGAUACCGCCGGGCAGGAGCGUUACCGUGCCAUUACUUCUGCUUACUACCGGGGGGCAGUUGGGGCACUUCUUGUUUAUGACAUCGCCAAGUACCUGACCUAUGAGAACGCAGAGCGCUGGCUCAAGGAGCUGCAGGACCACGCUGAUGCCAACAUCGUCAUCAUGCUGGUGGGCAACAAGAGCGACUUGCGGCAUCUGCGGGCAGUGCCCACCGAUGAGGCCAAGAGCUUUGCAGAAAAGAAUGGCUUGUCAUUCAUAGAGACAUCAGCUCUGGAUUCCACCAAUGUGGAGACGGCCUUUCACAACAUCCUAACAGAAAUCUACCGGAUCGUAUCCCAGAGGCAGAUUGCUGGUGGGCAGCCGGAGACGGAGUUCAGUGCCAGCAGCACCAUCGAGCCGAUCAAGGUCCUGCCUACCCACCAGGAGGGCCGGCAAACCCCUUGCUGCCAGAACAUCUAACCUGCAAAGACUGCAACGAGGAAGUGAAAGGGGAACAAGGAAGGCCAAAUAGUCUCCGGUACCUCCAAGGGGGAAAGUGAUGCUCCAGGCAAAUUCCUCUUUUUCUUCUUCUGGUACCCAACGUCCACCGUGCUACUCUGCUUCAUGUAGGUCAGAAACACAUAACGGAUCGUGUUCGUCUCUAGAUGUGGGGAAACGUUAGUGUCAAUGGGUGCUUUUCGGACCACCUGAGAGACACCCCAUCCCAAUUCCACAGCCUUCUUCCCUGAGAGGUGGCUGCUGGCAUGAGGAAGUUGGUGGGUCGCAGGGAUGGCGCUUCCCACACCAAUGGCCCUUUGAAUUUCUUGCCGAAACUAUUUUCCUGACUAGCAUAUAUUACACGGUUUAAGUAGAGCCUUUUGCUAACAUAGGGGGUCAUGGCAUUCAACGCUAUAUGUCUGGAAUGAAAUUGAUUGAGCUGGUUGGGCAGCCCACUUCUAAACCAAAGAUAGAGUGGACUCACUAUCAUGGCUUCAUGGGCUGUGGUUUUCAGGGGGUUUUUAAGUUGCUGAAUGUUAAAUAAAAACAACAACUCCUUUGCUCCCUCCUAAUUACAACUCCUCUUUGAGGGAAGUCAUGGUGAAUUAAGCCUGGUCCCCCCCCAAGUUGGUUCUGUCAUACAGACAUGCCCUCCCCACCCAAAAAAUUUGGGGGGCUCCGCUGAGGUACAAAAGCCAGGCUGUUGAGUAAGCCUCAGCCUGUGUAAAGAAGCCCAGAAAUUGAGGCAAGGCCCAAGGCCGGCCCGCUUAGAAGAAAGUGAACUUUAGCCGUCCUGUGGCUUGGCAGCAAAAUGGCUUUGUAUCAACAAGCAAAUAGGAGUUGCUUCUGAGUGGUGACUGUUCUGGGCAUGCCAGAUGGCUUUAAAGCACAACUCGCCAGUCAGGUUGCAUUUGUGAGGGCGUCUGUCACCUCCACCUUCACCAUAGCAGCAGAAAAGCCUCCCGGCCUGGUAUGAUCACACCCUAUGUUGGCUCAGUGCAUUGGGUGACAGCUUCCUGCAGAUUUUAAUCCAGCAAAUUGGUAUAUUUCCCUGCUGCCCCUUGUGCUGUUUUAAAGACCCAGGUUCCCAUUAGCUUCAUGCCCCCCGAGGCCUCGCC